RNAcentral lists this non-coding RNA (188 nucleotides) under uncultured Prevotella sp. Lineage: Bacteria; Pseudomonadati; Bacteroidota; Bacteroidia; Bacteroidales; Prevotellaceae. The record is from RNAcentral.
GCUUUAGGUUCACCGCUACCGCGUGAUGAAAAGGGAACCGGGUGAGAAUCCCGGACUGUCCCGCAGCUGUGAGCCGCCAGUUAUCAGCGACAAACAACAAGCCACUGGAAGAAGAUUAAAGAUUAAGAAUUAAUUCCGGGAAGGCAGUUUGCCAGUUGGGCGGCAAAGUCAGAAGACCUGCCUAUGAG